UACGUAGGCAGCAAGCGUUGUUCGGAAUUACUGGGCGUAAAGAGCGCGCAGGCGGUCGAUCAAGUCGAGUGUGAAAGCCCCCGGCUCAACUGGGGAGGGUCAUUCGAUACUGAUCGACUCGAAGGCAGGAGAGGGUAGUGGAAUUCCCGGUGUAGUGGUGAAAUGCGUAGAUAUCGGGAGGAACACCAGUGGCGAAGGCGACUACCUGGCCUGUUCUUGACGCUGAGGCGCGAAAGCUAGGGGAGCAAACGGG
This 253-nucleotide ribosomal RNA is filed under the name uncultured bacterium. RNAcentral's name for it is "partial 16S ribosomal RNA". It matches the Rfam family "Bacterial small subunit ribosomal RNA", at positions 524 to 776 of the family's 1533-position model. The record is from RNAcentral.